This 14441-nucleotide long non-coding RNA is filed under the name Arabidopsis thaliana (thale cress). Its description in RNAcentral is "long non-coding RNA (ATHA_LNC000485)". Lineage: Eukaryota; Viridiplantae; Streptophyta; Magnoliopsida; Brassicales; Brassicaceae. The record is from RNAcentral.
GACGAGUAACCUUAAGUUGCAGUUGCAGAGGACACAAGAGUCAAACUCUAAUUUGAUUCUUGCUGUGAGGGAUCUCAAUGAGAUGUUGGAGCAGAAGAACAAUGAGAUAUCUUCUCUGAAUAGCUUAUUAGAGGAGGCUAAGAAGCUUGAAGAGCAUAAAGGAAUGGAUUCUGGAAACAAUGAGAUAGAUACGCUAAAGCAACAGAUCGAAGAUUUAGAUUGGGAGUUAGACUCUUACAAGAAAAAGAACGAAGAACAAGAGAUACUAUUAGAUGAGCUUACUCAGGAAUAUGAGUCCUUGAAAGAGGAAAAUUACAAAAACGUUUCCUCAAAAUUAGAGCAGCAAGAAUGCUCAAAUGCAGAAGACGAAUACUUGGAUUCCAAGGAUAUUAUAGACGAAUUGAAAUCUCAGAUAGAGAUAUUGGAAGGCAAACUGAAGCAGCAAUCGUUGGAGUAUUCUGAGUGCUUGAUUACAGUUAAUGAACUUGAGAGUCAGGUGAAAGAGUUAAAGAAAGAACUGGAGGAUCAGGCACAGGCUUAUGAUGAAGAUAUCGACACAAUGAUGCGGGAAAAAACUGAACAAGAGCAAAGAGCCAUCAAAGCAGAGGAGAACCUGAGGAAAACAAGAUGGAAUAACGCUAUAACUGCAGAGCGGCUUCAAGAGAAAUGCAAGAGGCUUUCUCUAGAAAUGGAAUCGAAGCUGAGCGAGCAUGAGAAUCUGACGAAAAAAACAUUGGCUGAAGCCAACAACCUUCGUCUGCAAAACAAAACUCUUGAGGAAAUGCAAGAGAAAACACAUACCGAGAUUACACAAGAGAAAGAACAAAGGAAGCACGUGGAAGAGAAGAACAAAGCUUUGUCAAUGAAAGUCCAGAUGCUUGAAAGUGAGGUCCUGAAGCUCACAAAGCUGAGAGAUGAGUCGAGUGCAGCAGCUACUGAAACCGAGAAGAUAAUACAAGAGUGGAGGAAAGAAAGAGAUGAAUUUGAGAGAAAACUUUCUUUGGCUAAAGAAGUAGCCAAGACAGCGCAGAAAGAGUUAACUCUCACUAAGUCGUCAAAUGAUGAUAAAGAGACAAGGCUCAGGAAUUUGAAGACAGAAGUAGAAGGUCUAAGCCUACAGUACAGUGAAUUACAAAACAGCUUCGUUCAAGAAAAAAUGGAGAAUGAUGAACUGAGAAAACAAGUAUCAAACCUGAAAGUCGAUAUUCGGAGAAAAGAAGAAGAAAUGACUAAAAUCCUAGAUGCAAGGUAUGUGGACAAUAAACUAACUAAACUGGAAUGUUAUUUGCGUUAUGAAUAUUUGACUUAAUUAUGAUCUAACACGGAAAGUAAACAGGAUGGAAGCAAGGUCACAAGAAAACGGACACAAAGAGGAGAAUCUAUCAAAGCUAUCAGACGAAUUGGCGUAUUGUAAGAACAAAAACAGUUCAAUGGAGAGAGAGUUGAAAGAAAUGGAAGAGAGAUAUUCAGAGAUAAGCCUGAGAUUUGCAGAGGUAGAAGGAGAAAGACAACAACUUGUGAUGGCUGUCAGAAACCUCAAGAACGGUAAGAAGUUCUAGUAUUUGUAUGUCGCUGCGAAUACAGGUGUUGUCAGAUCAUAGUAGAAAUCACUAUAUAACUUGUACUGUUAAUAGAAUUCGUUUCUCUCAUAAAACAUUAUUUUAAACUUAUCAAGAAAUCAAUAUUUUCCACUGAAAUAAGUAACGCUUACAUAAGAUUUUGAGAUGCCCACUUCCAAAAUCUGAUCAUAUCCACUGAUUGGUUUUUGGUUAGUUUCCAAUUGCUACGCCGUGUUUGUUUCUUUACUUCCAUACAAGUUUUGUUUGGCCAGUUCCAUUCGCUGUGUAAGAUAGAGACUGGAAUGAAAAAAAAAAGAUGUUAAAGAAAUCAACGGUAUGAACAAAUCUCACUUCUAUAGGGAUCAUAUAUAAUGAAUACCUGUUUUGCUCGCUUAUCAAUUGGUGUGCAUGACUUAAGAGGCGAGUAAAAUCUCUCGUUUUUUGGUGAGGCUGAAGAAUUCUUUGACCGCUUCUGCCUCUUCUCUUCUUGAAGUUUGUUGCCUCCUUUAUACUUGAAAAACUCGAGUAUGGAUGGACUCUUUCUCUUGGUAUUAGCUUUCUUUAUGUUCCCUGGAGUCUCCAAACUAGGUGGAGAAGCAUAAGAAGGAAGAGAUUGUUGUUGUUUCCUUGCUCUGCUUCUUUCUCGAACUCUGUUAAGGAAAUCAACCGUCCAAGGAGAACUUUGUACUUGAUUUGAAGAACGGAUUGCGUUUGAUAGUGGAGAUCCACCAAAAUGUGAUAUUUCUUCUCUAAAUGGAAGCUCUGUUGUUGGAACUGCAGAUCUUCGUGUUAAGACCUCCUCCAAAAGGGUCCUUUGGCGUUUUGCUGGAUAGUUAUCAGCAUAGCCACGCAAAGAAGUGUUGUUAUCAUAUUUUGAAUCUUUCUCAGUGGCGUAUCUUUCAGAACUCGAGUCGAUGUCAGCCGCCUUUGGGAAGUUAGGCUGGAGAGAUCCAAAGAAAGAUAACUUCCUUGAAGAUUUUGAUUUUCUUGGAAGUUCCUCUUCAUUAACAUCAGAAACUAUUCGAGCAAACCUAUUAUAACCAGGAGAAGGCGGGAAGUCUUCCUCGAGAUACUUAUCAGCUCUGUCAAUUACUUCACCUUUGUAGUCUGCGAUGAAAUUCUCCGAGUUCCUAUUGUCAUGCAAGUUAAAAUCUCUCAUCACCGGAAAUUUACAUCCUCUGUUCUGGCUCAUGAAUUUGUCUUUAACUGGGAAACUCCAAUCUUCUAAUUCAGGAAUUCCAGGAAGACUGUCCUCCACUGAAAAAUCAGGCUGAUCUUUCUCCCAAAAUGUGUCCUUUGAUGAUGAACCAGGUCCUGACUUCUUGUCAAAUCUCUCAGGAUCUUUAGACGGCCAAGAGUCAUUGGGAUGACUGAUCCCAGAAGGUUUGAAAGGUGCAUCUGAGAAUUCAGUGACAGGGUCAAAAUGAAAGAUCUCAUGAUCUUUCGAUGACCAAGAAUCAUCAAGUUGGAAAUCCCCAGAAGACUUGAGCUGUGUAUCAGCAAAUUCUAUCGAGGGAGAAAAAUGCACCAAGUCGUCCAUAUCUAUCUCAUCUUUCUCAGCAAUGUACUGUUUCUUUUUUGAGCCAGAAUGGACACUGACAUGGUGUGUGUCUGAGUCAGGUCCAGAAGAUACCGAAGAAGAGCUGUCUGUCAUUACAGAUCUGGAGUCCUCCCUUGCUCCGUAUCUGCAUACUGAACUGAAUAGAUCAACACUCUCUUCAGGUACAUGAUACUUUUGCGUCCUUUCAACCUUGCUUUUAUGUGGGAGCUUCAUGAAUUCGAGAAGUGACCCAGAAGAUGACAGAAUUACUUGAGCUGUGAGUGGAUUCACGGAAGGAAACUUGGUGAGAAAUGAUUCUGCUAGAGAUUCUGACUCGGGCAUUUUGACAUGGAGUUUGGACAACUUAACAGAAGAUUUGAUACACUUCAAUAUAAUUUCAUCCGUGAGAUUAGCUGACGAUGAGCAAAACAUCUGUAAACUGAUUCCUAGGCUACCAGCUGCUGCAUACAGUUCAUCAGAGGAGUCCAUUACGGCAGCCAGGAAGGCGGGUUCCCCCUCAAAAACCUGUACGAAAAAUAACAAUCGUUCUUUAAGUUCUCUGGACUCAGUCUACAGUUUAGAAGAAAAUGUUGCAGAGACUUUAGUAUAUGAGUGAGUAUUAAACAUCUAGUAAGUUUGUAAUCAUCAAAUUAGCAAAAAUAAUAGAAGAUGAUUCUUAAAGUGAAAGGUCCACAUAUAUACUGCAACGUUCCCACAAAAGAACGGCAAAAAGCAAAGUUUGGUGGAAUUUACCAUAAUGCAAGUGCUGAAACUGAAACUCAAUGACGUCAAAACAUUAGUUGCGAUAUCUCCAAUCCAUGAAAGUGAACUUGAGGAAGUACCAAUAGUUGCAGCCGACUUCUUACUAACAGUUUCACUAUCAUACCAGAGUAGGCAAACUGCAGGACUUAACAUCAGGUCCACAGGUAGAUCUGAAUCGCGCUCCACAACUUGCACUCCUUCUUUUUCCAUUGCUAACACCUUCUGGUAUGUACUUCUUCUGGAUAUGAUCAUCUCCUUAUCGACAGUUUUUGUGUUCACAACAAUCACAGAUCUUUGGUCAGAGAGACCCUGUUCAAUUAUCCCACGUUUUCUUUCAGAUUCUUGAGGCAUGGAGAUAAAUUCAGAUUCAUUUGUGGUUUCGGAAGAUCCUGCAUAACACACUUUUUCAAGUGGAACAAAGUUCAACACUUCUUCCAACCACCCAGUUUUCGUCUCAACUUCGUCUCCCUACAAAAGAGAUAAUAGUGUACAUAGGUUCUCGUAUCUGCAUAUUCUGGAACAUAUUCAAACAAAGCGUUCAAAAUAUGCAGUUAUGGAAUAAACGUGAAUACCACUGAUGUGACAACACAAUUUUAGGUUAAAGUACAUACUAAUGUUAAACUUGCAUAAUUUUCAGUGUUGCAAAACCAAUCAAGAUCAUAUGCUCAUGAAAGUACUAUUUGUGAUACAGAUUGAUCUACUGCUCUGAAUUUGAACCCUUCACACAGACUCUUCCAUCGUAAUAUACAAUCUACCAAUAUAACUUGUAAGAAAAGGUUGAAUGUUUCUCACCUUUAUCAUUUUGAGACUAUAAGGUACUGUAACACCUGCACAGAGUUGCCCGCAUGCACUGGGCAUAUCCAGCUCCACUUUUAUGAAAUGAAAGGAAGGAAAGGAAUCCAACUUUGAAGGAAAAGAAUAUCUGGGCGAGGCAUUUGGACCUCCAUAUUCUACAAUGACGCUGAAAUUCUCCACAGGAAAAGAUGGAGAAAUUUGCCUUAGAUGAAAAAGAAAGGACUAGUUAGCUUAACUACUCCCAAAAGACAAUUUCACUAAAAGAUAUUGAACAAAGAAUCGAUAAAGCUAUGUUUUAGCAUGCAAAGAACAAUAAUGCAGCAAUUUCACGAGCAGAGAAGUAACAACAUUUUGUGGUAUCUCUUACAAUCACCAUGCUAAAAGACUGAAAAUGCUUUUCAGGCCGCAAUAUAUCAAUUCUUUGGUUCCCUUUCUAGUUCCCAAAAAAUUCAACUGUGAAAAGCUAUGAUCAUUGAUAAUGAGGAUAUGGCUAUAGGAAGAAAUAAUACUCACUCGUAAGAGAUAAUUAGACAGUCUGAAAUCGGCAGGAAACCAAGUUCUAUGGCUUCAUGAACAUUUGGUCGAUUUCCACUUGGGGAGGGACUGUUGAGGUCAUUGUAAGAUAACCCCAUGGACAUCAGUAGCCUCUUCAGCGAGGACCAAAACACUUUCUCAGCCAAAAGUAAUGCUUUGGAGUUCCCCCGGGCAAAUUCUGACUGUAAAAUCCCCUGGAUAACAGCUAGUGAUGGAUGUGAUCUUGUGAUGUCUGUCUCAUCUGAUUUGUGUUCUGUUUCAACUGCUGAGUAGAGGGUGUGCAAUCCUAUCUUCAUGGGAUUUGAGCUUCGACAUACCUUGUUAAGAUAGAUAUAUGCCACAUGGAUACCGAAGAAACACAUAUACCAUGUCAUCUGUUUAAUUGCUAAUAGUAAUGCAAACGUGAAAGUCUUAUCAUCCGCCAACUGUGUUUUGUGGACAUUUGCCUUUCUUAUGCAGUCAAUAAGCUUUCCUUUAGAUAUGCUGAGUAACUUAAGUUUAUCUUCUGAUAAAUUCUCUGAUUCAUCCUUCACAAGAGUUAAAUAGCUCUUCACAAAUUCCCCAACAAGAGCCUGAAUAUUUUCUGAAGGGCGCACACUGUGAAGUAUCAUUUCCUCUGUCUUCGGGUUUGGGUGCAUACCACCAGAUCUACAUGAAGCCUUCGAGUCAAUAGACAUACAUUUAUGGUUGGUAGUCUUAGCAGCUUCGACUCUAGACUCGAGAUUAUCUUCAAUCACAGCCUUCUUCGGAUCCAUGAAAAAGGUUAAGUCAUCAAAAGCAGACAUUGAUUUGAACAACAGCGUAGCCUUCUUAGCAUUAUCAUCCACUGCACAAUCCCUUGCUCCUGUUUUUUGGAAAGGGUUUUCCAAUAACCCAUGCGAAGUAUUAACAGGAGCAUGCUCAUCAAGGUUAGAUAUACCAUAGAAAGGUUCAGUGCAUUUCUCUACAAGUGGCUCGCAGAAAGCAUCUUCAGAGAAAAUGAAAUCAUAAACCCAUUUGUCUCCUUCUGAAGCUUCCCAGUUAUAAUCAAUGUUGAAUGUAACUAUUUCUUCAAACGGAUAAUCACAAUGGUUGUGGUUUCUUUCCUCAAGAAGGUUCCACGGCAAGUAUAUGUCAUUUGAGGCAGACAAGGAUUGAGGCUUGAUCUUUGACAAAACAUCCUCAUAAAUGAGCUCCAGAGAUCUUGUCAUCUCAUAAUCAUGUAAAAUAGGAGUAGGCAAAGACUUGAAGGCAUCAUCUGUGAAGGCAAGUUCGGAACUGACAACUAAUUCAUCGAAAUCCUUGAAGUUCAUCUCUUUACUGAACAUACCGUAACAGAUUUCUGGUUCAAUGGCUUUUUGAAGACAAAGGAAGAUAUCAAAAACAUCAGAGAUAUCCACAUCCAGGAUCUGGAAUUCCUCAUAAGUUACUGGUACAGCCACCUUUCCCUGAAAUUCCUCAGCAUUUGAUAUUUCCAGGAUAGUCACUAUAUCCAUUUCAGAAAAUUCAUCCUCUGGUACCACAUCAGAUUGGCCACUCUUGUUCAAAUAGCAAUCCGUAGAGAGUACAUCCAAUAGAUCAUAAUCCUUUGAGCCUAUAAGCUCCUUAGAAUUGAUAAUGAGAGAACUCCCUGCAUUAGUGUCUUGGGGUUCAAUCGUCUCAAGAACAGUAAAUACUUUAUCAAGCACAGAUAAGCUUGAUAGUUCGCUCAAGUUUACUUCAUCCACUUCUAGAAGGGGAAAUCUGGCAUCUUUGAACCAUGGUUGAAUCUUGCGGAAGCAUUCAUUUUCUGCUACAGAAGUGUUGUUCUCUGUAAAGUAAUCAGAAGGAAUGUAAUCAACAGAAUAAAUCUGCUCUUGAAUGUCCUUUGAGUUCUGCAGGAUAAUAUCUGACCCCUCAUAUUUAACCUGCAAUAAGAAGACUAGCUAAAAUCAGAUGAUGCCAAGAACAGGAACCAGCUCUACCACUCUACAGCAAAAGCAAAAACUACUGUUGUGUGUGCCAACUAAAAUCAACUCAGGGAUUUACCGGGUCAUUUUUGAUCUCUAGAACUUCAGAGAAACAUUGGAGAUGAUCCUCACUCGUGCAUAAGAGCUUGUUCUCCUGUAUAUCAAAAGAUGCUUUAUCUCGCAAUGAAAAAGAAAAAGCUGAACUAGUUCAAUUAGUACAAUGCUUACACAGCUUGAGCAAUACCAUCUCAAAAUCCAACUCUGGAGUCUCCAACUCAAUAAUUUUAGGUGUAGCUUUAUCCGCAAUGGCAUCUCCGUCAUCCUUCUGCAAAUAGAUCAUAACUUCGGUUUUCAAACUCCGGUAAGAUUCGCUUAAGCUACCAAAAUUUCCAACCCAAGUAUGAAUAUAAGAUCUAAGCAACAAUCAGAAAUGGAAACUGAGAAAACACACCACAAAUUUCGAAAAAUCUACAACCAAUCUCACUAUAAGAAACAAAGGACCGUUGACAGAAACAGUCAGCGAGACUCAGGAAAUUCGAAAUUUCACCUCCAGGAACUGAUAAUAUCUAGAUCGAAGGAACUUUACCUCGUCUGAGUAAUAAACUCCGAGCGAAGAGUCGUCGAUUUCAAAAACUCGAUAGUCCACACUGACGCGGUCGGGAACCACGUCGGAAAGGAACUUCGACAAAGCAGCUUCAAUAGGCAAAUUUCCGAUAGGGAUACUAACAUUUUCGAUCGAGCCAAAUCGGAGACGGUCUUCUUCUCCGUUGUAGACGAUGGGUGCCGGGAAAUUAUCAGGAGCCGGAAGAUUGAGGAAGCCUAGGGUUUCAAAUACGUGAGAAGGUGGAGUAGAGAAGUAAUCGAUGUUGAGAAAUCGAGUUCGCAUCGUAAUUUUCUAGAUCCGUCUUGGGAGCUCAGACUGUAUCAGUGAUGAUGAUGAUGAUGAAGAAGAGAACGAAUUUUGAAAUUGGCGGUUUUGAAUUUUUAAGAAAUUAAAAAAUAUCCCCCGUCGAUUUCAAGAGGGAGAUGGAGAUACCAAAGCAACUCUCGCCACUUGUCGUCUUUUAAUUUUAAUUGAGUACGUUAUGCCGUUUUAAAUGUUCAAAACAGCACACAGUUGAUAGCUGAAUUGAUUUUUUCUUUUGCCGUUUUGUUAUAUUUAAACAACACACAGUGCAUUUGCCAAAUAACUACAUGAUGGGCCAAUAAACGUGGACCGACUAAAACUAAAUAAUAGAAGAUACAUCGAUAGGCUUCUCUAAAGAUCGGAUAAAAGAUAAUGUCGCAUAGCCACGUAGAGAGCAACUGGCUGAGACGUGGCAGGACGAAACGGACGCAUCGUACGUGUCAGAAUCCUACAGAAGUAAAGAGACAGAAGCCAGAGAGAGGUGGUUCGGCCAUAUGUCAUCGUUCUCUCUAUAAACUUUAUGGAACUUUGUUCUGAUUUUCUCAGAGACACGAAAAGAAAGAAAACAACACUAGAACAAAGAGGGUUUGAUUGAUUCACUUGAAAAAGAGAAAACACAGCUUUGGAAAAUGGAGUCACAGUUGACACGUCCUUAUGGUCAUGAGCAAGCAGAAGAACCAAUCAGAAUUCACCAUCCAGGUAUAUAUAUAUCUAUGACAGAAGAUUCUAAUUUGAGAACUUUUCUCUUAAUUUGCCUUAUUUAUUGUGAUUCGGAUACAGAAGAAGAAGAGCAUCAUGAGAAGGGAGCAUCCAAAGUGUUGAAGAAAGUAAAAGAAAAGGCUAAGAAAAUCAAGAACAGUCUCACUAAACAUGGAAAUGGUCAUGAUCACGAUGUGGAAGAUGAUGAUGAUGAGUAUGACGAGCAAGACCCAGAAGUUCACGGCGCACCAGGUUAAUUUCUCUGUAUUAAAGUCCUCGUCAAUCAGCAGUUAUAUUUUUUUGUGUAUUAACGGUUUUUCUGUUUUUUUAUGUGUAUGCACAGUGUAUGAAUCCUCUGCCGUGAGAGGUGGUGUAACGGGUAAACCUAAGUCUCUUAGUCAUGCCGGAGAAACUAAUGUUCCGGCAUCGGAGGAGAUUGUUCCUCCAGGGACAAAAGUUUUUCCUGUCGUGUCUUCUGACCACACCAAACCCAUUGAGCCUGUAUCAUUACAAGAUACCUCUUACGGACAUGAGGCACUGGCUGAUCCUGUAAGAACGACGGAAACAUCGGACUGGGAAGCGAAAAGAGAGGCACCGACUCAUUAUCCUCUCGGAGUGUCAGAAUUUUCAGACAGAGGAGAGAGCAGAGAGGCUCAUCAAGAGCCAUUGAACACUCCUGUGUCUCUGCUUUCAGCAACAGAGGACGUGACUAGGACGUUUGCUCCUGGUGGUGAAGAUGACUAUCUCGGUGGUCAACGGAAAGUCAACGUCGAGACGCCAAAACGUUUGGAGGAAGAUCCGGCUGCUCCAGGAGGAGGAUCGGAUUAUCUCAGUGGUGUAUCUAAUUAUCAGUCCAAAGUUACUGAUCCCACGCAUAAAGGUAAUGACUUUGGCCGAGACUUUUUUUAGGGUUUAUGAAUCUGUAAUAACUCUUGUCUGUUCUGUUUAAGGUGGAGAAGCUGGAGUACCAGAGAUUGCUGAGUCUCUUGGUAGAAUGAAAGUGACUGAUGAGUCUCCUGAUCAGAAAUCAAGACAAGGACGCGAAGAAGACUUUCCGACGAGAAGCCAUGAGUUUGAUCUGAAGAAGGAAUCUGAUAUCAACAAGAAUUCUCCGGCAAGAUUUGGAGGGGAAUCAAAAGCUGGGAUGGAGGAAGAUUUUCCGACAAGAGGUGAUGUGAAAGUAGAGAGUGGAUUGGGAAGAGACUUACCGACGGGAACUCAUGAUCAGUUCUCACCAGAACUAUCUCGUCCCAAAGAGAGAGAUGAUUCUGAGGAAACCAAAGAUGAGUCGACACAUGAGACAAAACCAAGCACCUACACAGAGCAGUUAGCUUCAGCUACAUCAGCCAUAACUAACAAAGCUAUAGCCGCAAAGAACGUCGUUGCCUCAAAGCUAGGUUACACCGGAGAGAAUGGCGGCGGGCAAAGCGAGAGCCCUGUAAAAGAUGAAACUCCGAGAUCUGUUACUGCUUACGGGCAGAAAGUGGCGGGAACUGUUGCUGAGAAGUUGACUCCGGUUUACGAAAAAGUCAAAGAAACAGGAUCAACGGUGAUGACAAAGCUACCUCUCUCCGGAGGUGGAAGUGGAGUGAAGGAGACGCAACAAGGGGAAGAGAAAGGUGUGACGGCUAAAAAUUAUAUAUCAGAGAAGCUGAAACCUGGAGAAGAGGACAAAGCUUUAUCGGAAAUGAUAGCUGAGAAACUUCAUUUUGGAGGAGGAGGAGAGAAGAAGACAACGGCUACAAAGGAGGUGGAAGUGACGGUUGAGAAGAUACCUUCCGACCAGAUAGCGGAGGGGAAAGGACAUGGUGAGGCGGUUGCAGAGGAAGGAAAAGGUGGAGAAGGAAUGGUGGGGAAAGUUAAAGGAGCGGUCACUUCUUGGCUCGGUGGUAAACCGAAGUCGCCACGGUCCGUUGAAGAGUCUCCACAAUCACUUGGCACCACCGUUGGUAAAACUCCCUCGUCCUUGUGUUACACGUAAUGUUAAGAUUUUGAUGUGUGUAUUAUUUUUGUAAUUUUACUCAAAAUGUUUUGGUUGCUAUGGUAGGGACUAUGGGGUUUUCGGAUUCCGGUGGAAGUGAGUUGGGAGGCAGUGGCGGAGGUAAGGGAGUUCAAGAUUCUGGGAACUGAAGAUUUGGGGUUUUGCUUUUGAAUGUUUGUGUUUUUGUAUGAUGCCUCUGUUUGUGAACUUUGAUGUAUUUUAUCUUUGUGUGAAAAAGAGAUUGGGUUAAUAAAAUAUUUGCUUUUUUGGAUAAGAAACUCUUUUAGCGGCCCAUUAAUAAAGGUUACAAAUGCAAAAUCAUGUUAGCGUCAGAUAUUUAAUUAUUCGAAGAUGAUUGUGAUAGAUUUAAAAUUAUCCUAGUCAAAAAGAAAGAGUAGGUUGAGCAGAAACAGUGACAUCUGUUGUUUGUACCAUACAAAUUAGUUUAGAUUAUUGGUUAACAUGUUAAAUGGCUAUGCAUGUGACAUUUAGACCUUAUCGGAAUUAAUUUGUAGAAUUAUUAAUUAAGAUGUUGAUUAGUUCAAACAAAAAUUUUAUAUUAAAAAAUGUAAACGAAUAUUUUGUAUGUUCAGUGAAAGUAAAACAAAUUAAAUUAACAAGAAACUUAUAGAAGAAAAUUUUUACUAUUUAAGAGAAAGAAAAAAAUCUAUCAUUUAAUCUGAGUCCUAAAAACUGUUAUACUUAACAGUUAACGCAUGAUUUGAUGGAGGAGCCAUAGAUGCAAUUCAAUCAAACUGAAAUUUCUGCAAGAAUCUCAAACACGGAGAUCUCAAAGUUUGAAAGAAAAUUUAUUUCUUCGACUCAAAACAAACUUACGAAAUUUAGGUAGAACUUAUAUACAUUAUAUUGUAAUUUUUUGUAACAAAAUGUUUUUAUUAUUAUUAUAGAAUUUUACUGGUUAAAUUAAAAAUGAAUAGAAAAGGUGAAUUAAGAGGAGAGAGGAGGUAAACAUUUUCUUCUAUUUUUUCAUAUUUUCAGGAUAAAUUAUUGUAAAAGUUUACAAGAUUUCCAUUUGACUAGUGUAAAUGAGGAAUAUUCUCUAGUAAGAUCAUUAUUUCAUCUACUUCUUUUAUCUUCUACCAGUAGAGGAAUAAACAAUAUUUAGCUCCUUUGUAAAUACAAAUUAAUUUUCGUUCUUGACAUCAUUCAAUUUUAAUUUUACGUAUAAAAUAAAAGAUCAUACCUAUUAGAACGAUUAAGGAGAAAUACAAUUCGAAUGAGAAGGAUGUGCCGUUUGUUAUAAUAAACAGCCACACGACGUAAACGUAAAAUGACCACAUGAUGGGCCAAUAGACAUGGACCGACUACUAAUAAUAGUAAGUUACAUUUUAGGAUGGAAUAAAUAUCAUACCGACAUCAGUUUGAAAGAAAAGGGAAAAAAAGAAAAAAUAAAUAAAAGAUAUACUACCGACAUGAGUUCCAAAAAGCAAAAAAAAAGAUCAAGCCGACACAGACACGCGUAGAGAGCAAAAUGACUUUGACGUCACACCACGAAAACAGACGCUUCAUACGUGUCCCUUUAUCUCUCUCAGUCUCUCUAUAAACUUAGUGAGACCCUCCUCUGUUUUACUCACAAAUAUGCAAACUAGAAAACAAUCAUCAGGAAUAAAGGGUUUGAUUACUUCUAUUGGAAAGAAAAAAAUCUUUGGAAAAUGGAUCAAACAGAGGAACCACCACUCAACACACACCAGCAGCACCCAGGUAGAUUCUAAUUUCAGAAACUUAUAUUUUUUUUAAGUGACAAUCCUCUGAAUUUACUUAAACUUAUUGUGAUUUAUGGAUACAGAAGAAGUUGAACAUCAUGAGAAUGGUGCGACUAAGAUGUUUAGGAAAGUAAAGGCUAGAGCUAAGAAGUUCAAGAACAGUCUCACUAAACAUGGACAAAGCAAUGAGCAUGAGCAAGAUCAUGAUUUGGUUGAAGAAGAUGAUGAUGAUGACGAGCUAGAACCUGAAGUGAUCGAUGCACCAGGUUACUUUCUUUUGUAGUUUCAUUCAACUUAUGAUCUAAAAACUAUUGGUUAUUCAAUUUUGCGUGACAUUAACGGUUUGGUAUCUGUAUAUGCAGGCGUAACAGGUAAACCUAGAGAAACUAAUGUUCCAGCAUCGGAGGAAAUUAUUCCACCAGGGACAAAGGUGUUUCCUGUCGUGUCUUCCGAUUACACCAAACCCACUGAAUCUGUACCAGUACAAGAGGCCUCUUACGGACACGAUGCACCGGCUCAUUCUGUAAGGACGACGUUUACAUCGGACAAGGAAGAGAAAAGAGAUGUACCGAUUCAUCAUCCUCUGUCCGAAUUGUCAGACAGAGAAGAGAGUAGAGAGACUCAUCAUGAGUCAUUGAACACUCCGGUCUCUCUGCUUUCUGGAACAGAGGAUGUAACGAGUACGUUUGCUCCAAGUGGUGAUGAUGAAUAUCUUGAUGGUCAACGGAAGGUCAACGUCGAGACCCCGAUAACGUUGGAGGAAGAGUCGGCUGUUUCAGACUAUCUUAGUGGUGUAUCUAAUUAUCAGUCCAAAGUUACUGAUCCCACCAAAGAAGGUAAGAACUUUGACCUUUUAAGAUUGUGUUUUUCUUUAGUGAUUAUGAAUAUGUAAUAACUCUGUUACGUUGUGUUUGGUUUAGAAACUGGAGGAGUACCGGAGAUUGCUGAGUCUUUUGGUAAUAUGGAAGUGACUGAUGAGUCUCCUGAUCAGAAGCCAGGACAAUUUGAAAGAGACUUGUCGACGAGAAGCAAAGAAUUCAAAGAGUUUGAUCAGGACUUUGACUCUGUUCUCGGUAAGGAUUCGCCGGCGAAAUUUCCAGGUGAAUCAGGAGUUGUUUUCCCGGUGGGCUUUGGUGACGAGUCAGGAGCUGAGCUGGAAAAAGAUUUUCCGACGAGAAGUCAUGAUUUUGAUAUGAAGACUGAAACUGGAAUGGACACGAAUUCUCCAUCAAGAAGCCAUGAAUUUGAUCUGAAGACUGAAUCUGGAAACGACAAGAAUUCUCCGAUGGGCUUUGGUAGUGAAUCAGGAGCUGAGCUGGAAAAAGAAUUUGAUCAGAAGAACGAUUCUGGAAGAAACGAGUAUUCGCCGGAAUCUGACGGCGGUUUAGGAGCUCCGUUGGGAGGAAAUUUUCCGGUGAGAAGUCAUGAGUUGGAUCUGAAGAACGAAUCUGAUAUCGACAAGGAUGUGCCGACGGGAUUUGACGGAGAACCAGAUUUUCUGGCGAAGGGAAGACCUGGAUACGGUGAGGCAUCAGAAGAGGAUAAAUUUCCGGCGAGAAGUGAUGAUGUGGAAGUAGAGACUGAGCUGGGAAGAGACCCAAAGACGGAGACUCUUGAUCAAUUCUCACCGGAACUUUCUCAUCCUAAAGAAAGAGAUGAGUUUAAGGAGUCCAGAGAUGAUUUUGAGGAGACGAGAGAUGAGAAAACAGAGGAGCCAAAACAGAGCACUUACACAGAGAAGUUUGCUUCAAUGCUAGGUUACUCCGGAGAAAUUCCGGUGGGAGAUCAAACUCAAGUGGCGGGAACUGUUGAUGAGAAGUUGACUCCGGUCAAUGAGAAGGAUCAAGAAACAGAGUCUGCCGUGACGACGAAGUUACCUAUCUCCGGAGGUGGAAGUGGAGUAGAGGAGCAACGAGGGGAAGAUAAAAGUGUGUCGGGUAGAGAUUAUGUGGCGGAGAAACUGACAACUGAAGAAGAAGACAAAGCCUUUUCUGAUAUGGUUGCCGAGAAAC